This 506-nucleotide ribosomal RNA is filed under the name uncultured soil bacterium. RNAcentral describes it as "bacterial SSU rRNA". It matches the Rfam family "Bacterial small subunit ribosomal RNA", at positions 26 to 518 of the family's 1533-position model. The record is from RNAcentral.
AGGACGAACGCUGGCGGCGCGCUUAACACAUGCAAGUCGAGCGAGAACCAGGACUUCGGUCCUGGGGACAGCGGCGAACGGGUGAGUAACACGUGGAUAACCUGCCCUCGGCACCGGGAUAGCCCGAGGAAACUCGGAUUAAUACCGGAUAGCCCUUCCGACUCUCGAGUCGGUCCGAAAAGGUAGCUUCGGCCUCUGGCCGAGGAUGGGUCCGCGGCGGAUUAGCUUGUUGGUGGGGUAACGGCCUACCAAGGCUUCGAUCCGUAGCUGGUCUGAGAGGACGAUCAGCCACACUGGGACUGAGACACGGCCCAGACUCCUACGGGAGGCAGCAGUGGGGAAUCUUGCGCAAUGGGCGAAAGCCUGACGCAGCGACGCCGCGUGAGGGAAGAAGGCCUUCGGGUUGUAAACCUCUUUCAGGAGGGACGAAGCGUAACUCGGGUGAAGUAGCCCAGAGGUGACGGUACCUCCAGAAGAAGCCCGGCUAACUACGUGCCAGCAGCCGC